This 1402-nucleotide long non-coding RNA is filed under the name Rattus norvegicus (Norway rat). RNAcentral's name for it is "long non-coding RNA NONRATT014643". Lineage: Eukaryota; Metazoa; Chordata; Mammalia; Rodentia; Muridae. The record is from RNAcentral.
UAAAAACCUUACUUUCUUGUUUAAUUUGUUUUGCCAAACACAGUGAAAACUUCAGUCUAAUUGUACAGAAAAUAGAAUUUGUAACCAGUAGCAAACAUAACGAGAUAAACCUAAGUCCCUGGUCAGCUGGAUCUCCAUCAGCAAGUCACCCAGAGUCCUCUGAUAAAUGACCUUCUGGGUAGAGAGGUCCUAACAGGCAGAGGCGCAGAUCAACUAGUCUCCAUCAGAAUCACAGGCUGCACCUGAAACGGGUAGCAUGAAAAGGAGAAAUGAUGUUACUGAGAUCUCUUAUUACUACACACAGCAAAGCUGUCUUCAAUUGCUGGCCAACCUUAAGAUGUGGGCUUUCUCAAACCCACAGUCCCUAAGAGUCCCAUUUGCACCCCUCCAGGGUAAGUUUCAAGUUCAAUGGUUCUGAAGCCUUUGUAUAACCAGAAUCUGCAACAUAAAUUGGGGAGUGAGAGACAAAGUCAUAACUGCUGGUGUCACCAGAUUCUGAAGUCCCCAACUCCUACUUCAGGAGGAAACGAAAGAGGGUGCCAAUUGACCAGCUUAAGUCCCACUGUCCUAAACCUCAGCACUGUCAACCAGAAUAUUGGGGAGUUCAACAUCUGCCUGAGGAUUCCUUGGGCUGGAAGGAGUCACGAAUUCUGCAGGUUUCUGGGAGGAACCAUUCACAUUCCGUGCUUCUUACGGAUGACAGCCAUGGCAAGCAGGCGAUCCUUCUCUCGAAGUUCUUCACGGAGCUUGGCCUCGGUAAGACGCAGAUGGCGGAUGCUACCCUUCAUCUCUUUCAUCUUCACUUCCAUCAGGGCCAAGAUGUCCCGCUGCUCAUUCAGCUUGCGCAGGAGCUCCUCCUCCGUGGUACCGGACGACAAAGAGUAUGAGUGGUCGGAGCCAGUAUCAGGGAAGCCCUCUUCCCCUACUACCACCAGCUGAGGGCCCAGAGUGCACUCAGCGGCCUCCAGCCCAGCUGUAGCAGCCUCUAGCUCUGAUGCGGCGGCAGCGGCGGCUGCCCCUUCAGCAGCUGCAAACUCUACUUGCACUGUAAGGUCGAUGGGCUUCACAUCAUCUCCCGAGGAAGUAGUGGGCGCUGGAACCACGGUUCCAGGAGCCUGGCUGCUGUCUACGGCGGCCUGAAGAGUAAGAAGCACGGCCGCAGAGGCAGACACCAGAUUCGGCUGCAACUGGGCAGUCUGGGCAGUGGAGGAGGACGGAGACUGCUGCUGCUGCUGUUGCUGCUGUUGCUGCUGCUGCUGCUGUUGUUGUUGUUGCUGCUGCUGCUGCUGCUGCCUACGGCGGGCUGCCGCAGCUCCCGCAGGUCUCCGAGCUACUUUGCGCUCAUUGACGCCACGCAGCGGGAAAAUGGUGGGAACGCGCACCGUGUAGGUCUUGCGGCCGC